This is a non-coding RNA of Labrus bergylta (ballan wrasse), 1769 nucleotides long. The record is from RefSeq and is a predicted model, not a curated record. NCBI's taxonomy places the organism in Eukaryota, Metazoa, Chordata, Actinopteri, Labriformes, Labridae.
AAGCUCGUCGCGGGCCAGCGGCAUGCUGCUUCACUACAAACCGAUGGGCUCCCAGGAUGCUGAGCAGCUCCGCAUGGAGGCAGCAGACGACAAGAAGGUGGCCUCGUUAUGGUUAGCUGCGAUGCACAAGGCGGCCAAACUCCUGUAUGAAGCUCGUGACCUGUGACCUGCAGACGGCCUUCUGAACUGACCCUCCAGGCAGCACACACCCAAGUGUUCGUACCCCCGUCUCUCCGGGGGGGGUUUUCGGUAGAGUUUUGCUUUUAUUAACGCCAGCUCUGAUUCUGCGUUUUCCGUCUGAUCUUUCGGCCUUUCGAUGACAUUUUUUUAUUACGGUAAUCUCAGCAAGACACGUUUAUACAAAUGAGAAACACUUUAUUACCUCUUUAACCAGUACUUUGUACCUGUUUACUACAAUGAUGCUGAAGAUCUCAUUUUACAUUUUGUCAAAGUUUGUCUCUGAUUGAAUCAGGGCGUUUAAUGUUCCUGACAGCUGAGCAGCAGAAGACGCUUAACAACACCAGCAAGUAUCUGAUGCUUUUGCGACGCUUCUUCCUUUAAAUGUAUUUUGCUUUCACUCUAAAUGUGACAUUUUACCUUCCACAUAACAUUUUUUUAUAACUUCAGAGAUGCCUUCAGAUAUAGAGGCUCGGUCGAUGACUUUAAAUGCUGCAGUUAGACGACGGUUUUAUUCACCAGAUGUGACACUUUAUGGAUCCCUUUUUUUUUUUUUUAAAUCUUUCACUUCGCUGACUCUCCUUCCAGAGUGUUUUCACUUAACGGUUAAACCAGUUUGAACACAGAUCUUCCAGAUUAAACAUCAUCUUAUGCAGAGUAACGGACAGAUCCACCUUUAACCCUUUAAAGCAGAAAGAAAAGCAGCUGUAGGUCAUGUUCUUUGCAUUUCAGGGCCCAUUUUGUUAUCAAUCUAAGAGAGAAGAUAAGAAACUUCACCGGAUCUGUCUGUGUCACGUUCCAAGUGAUUGGCUUUCAAUUUUGACACAUUUUAAUGGUUUUUCUGGUGUUUUUAUUAUUCUUUACAGUCACAUCAAAAAGCUGUUUGCUUCGAUGUGUUAAAAGGAAGAAUGUGCGACUGUUUGAAUCCACUAGAUGUCGCCCUUGAGCUACAGUAUGAAACCAAAACAAUCAGCUGUUUGGUGACACCUCCUCCAGACUGAACAUAUAUUUUAAAACCAACGACCAAUAAAUACAAUUUAAAAACUCCCACGAGUUAAUUUCACAUGUUAGAUAAACUAAUGAAACCUCACCUAACCAGGUACAAUCAGUUUUUUAAAUAAUACCAGAGUGUGAGGAGUUCAAGUCAAGUGCUUAAAAUCAAAGUGAGGACUUCUUUUUCUACAUUUGUUUAAACUUUCAACAAACAUAAAUCAUUAAAAUCAACAGAAAAGAGCCACACAGAAAGCCCUUUAUUCCCUCGCUGGAGCAGCAGGUGGCAGUGUUAAGGAGUGAAAGGCAUCCUGGGAAAUGUAGGAUGCCCUAAGUGAAGCCGAGGCAGAUUGAGGGAAUAUUCCUGAAAUGCAAAGAACAUCAGAUUUAUCAACAAUUUGUAAACAAAAUGUUUGUUGCUUUAAAGUAAAUGAGUUAAUAACAUGUUAGGUGACGUGUUUUGUUGAUUUUAAAACGUGUUAAAAUCUCUGCUUUAGUCUUUACAGAUGCUACCUUUAGGACUCGAUGUCUAAGGAAACAAACUAUUCACUGAUUCUAGUGAAGCACACACACACACACACACACACACACACACACACACA